This 73-nucleotide transfer RNA is filed under the name Nicotiana tabacum (common tobacco). Its description in RNAcentral is "tRNA-Tyr (GTA) (tRNA-Tyr-GTA-10-1, tRNA-Tyr-GTA-11-1, tRNA-Tyr-GTA-11-2)". It matches the Rfam family "tRNA". From Rfam's summary of the family: Transfer RNA (tRNA) molecules are approximately 80 nucleotides in length. Their secondary structure includes four short double-helical elements and three loops (D, anti-codon, and T loops). Lineage: Eukaryota; Viridiplantae; Streptophyta; Magnoliopsida; Solanales; Solanaceae. The record is from RNAcentral.
CCGACCUUAGCUCGGUUGGUAGAGCGGAGGACUGUAGAUCCUUAGGUCGCUGGUUCGAAUCCGGCAGGUCGGA